CCUACGGGGGGCAGCAGUGAGGAAUAUUGGUCAAUGGGCUUACGCCUGAACCAGCGAAGUCGCGUGAGGGAAGACUGCCCUAUGGGUUGUAAACCUCUUUCAGCAGGGAAGAAGAAAGUGACGGUACCUGCAGAAGAAGUCACGGCUAACUACGUGCCAGCAGCCGCGGUAAUACGUAGGUGGCGAGCGUUAUCCGGAAUUACUGGGUGUAAAGGGUGUGUAGGCGGGAG
This 230-nucleotide ribosomal RNA is filed under the name uncultured bacterium. RNAcentral's name for it is "partial 16S ribosomal RNA". It matches the Rfam family "Bacterial small subunit ribosomal RNA", at positions 338 to 581 of the family's 1533-position model. The record is from RNAcentral.